This 632-nucleotide ribosomal RNA is filed under the name Burkholderia sp. ERR545. RNAcentral describes it as "bacterial SSU rRNA". It matches the Rfam family "Bacterial small subunit ribosomal RNA", at positions 90 to 718 of the family's 1533-position model. Lineage: Bacteria; Pseudomonadati; Pseudomonadota; Betaproteobacteria; Burkholderiales; Burkholderiaceae. The record is from RNAcentral.
GGCGAGUGGCGAACGGGUGAGUAAUACAUCGGAACAUGUCCUGUAGUGGGGGAUAGCCCGGCGAAAGCCGGAUUAAUACCGCAUACGAUCUACGGAUGAAAGCGGGGGACCUUCGGGCCUCGCGCUAUAGGGUUGGCCGAUGGCUGAUUAGCUAGUUGGUGGGGUAAAGGCCCACCAAGGCGACGAUCAGUAGCUGGUCUGAGAGGACGACCAGCCACACUGGGACUGAGACACGGCCCAGACUCCUACGGGAGGCAGCAGUGGGGAAUUUUGGACAAUGGGCGAAAGCCUGAUCCAGCAAUGCCGCGUGUGUGAAGAAGGCCUUCGGGUUGUAAAGCACUUUUGUCCGGAAAGAAAUCCUGAGGGCUAAUAUCCUUCGGGGAUGACGGUACCGGAAGAAUAAGCACCGGCUAACUACGUGCCAGCAGCCGCGGUAAUACGUAGGGUGCGAGCGUUAAUCGGAAUUACUGGGCGUAAAGCGUGCGCAGGCGGUUUGUUAAGACCGAUGUGAAAUCCCCGGGCUCAACCUGGGAACUGCAUUGGUGACUGGCAAGCUAGAGUAUGGCAGAGGGGGGUAGAAUUCCACGUGUAGCAGUGAAAUGCGUAGAGAUGUGGAGGAAUACCGAUGGCGA